UCUCCGUUGGUGAACCAGCGGAGGGAUCAUUACAGAGUUUUCACAACUCCCAACCCUUGCGAACCGUACCCAUUCUGUUCUCGUUGCUUCCGGCCGGCGUGACGGGGGGGCCCGAAACGGCCUCCCCGCCCCGCCCGCCGGGGGCGGCGGGCCCUACGAACCUUUAAAUCUCAAACACCACAAACCGCCUCAGAAAACAAACAAAAUAAUCAAAACUAUCAACAACGGAUCUCUUGGACCUGGCAUCGAUGAAGAACGCACCAGACCGGAAGAGCAAAC
Molecule: unclassified non-coding RNA, 279 nt
Filed under: plant metagenome
Description: partial contains small subunit ribosomal RNA, internal transcribed spacer 1, and 5.8S ribosomal RNA
Source: RNAcentral